This 85-nucleotide transfer RNA is filed under the name Acidobacteriota bacterium. RNAcentral's name for it is "Acidobacteria bacterium (hot springs metagenome) tRNA-Leu". It matches the Rfam family "tRNA". From Rfam's summary of the family: Transfer RNA (tRNA) molecules are approximately 80 nucleotides in length. Their secondary structure includes four short double-helical elements and three loops (D, anti-codon, and T loops). Lineage: Bacteria; Pseudomonadati; Acidobacteriota. The record is from RNAcentral.
GCGGGCGUGGCGGAAUGGUAGACGCUCGGCACUUAAAAUGCCGUUCCCUUGUGGAGUGCCGGUUCAAGUCCGGCCGCCCGCACCA